ACCACAGUAAGCGGCUGAGCGGAAAGCAUUAAGUGAACCACCUGGGGAGUACGCCCGCAAGGGUGAAACUCAAAAGGAAUUGACGGGGGCCCCGCACCAAGCGGUGGAAACAUGUGGUUUAAUUUCGAUGAUACGCGAGGAACCUUACCUGGGCUUAAAUGCAGAUUGCAUAAAUUGGAAACAGUUUUUUCCUUCGGGGCUAUUUGCAAGGUGCUGCAUGGUUGUCGUCAGCUCGUGCCGUGAGGUGUCGGGUUAAGUCCCAUAACGAGCGCAACCCCUACUGUUAGUUGCCAUCGGGUCAAGCCGGGGACUCUAGCGGGACUGCCACCGUAAGGUGAGAGGAAGGUGGGGAUGACGUCAAAUCAGCACGGCCCUUAUGUCCAGGGCUACACACGUGUUACAAUGGCCGGUACAAAGGGCAGCUACUGCGCGAGCAGGUGCUAAUCCUUAAAGCCGGUCCCAGUUCGGAUUGGAGUCUGCAACCCGACUCCAUGAAGUUGGAAUCGCUAGUAAUCGGAUAUCAGCAAUGAUCCGGUGAAUACGUUCCCGGGCCUUGUACACACCGCCCGUCAAACCAUGGAAGCUGGGGGUACCUGAAGU
Molecule: ribosomal RNA, 600 nt
Filed under: uncultured bacterium
Lineage: Bacteria
Description: bacterial SSU rRNA
Rfam family: Bacterial small subunit ribosomal RNA
Source: RNAcentral